Molecule: ribosomal RNA, 402 nt
Filed under: uncultured bacterium
Lineage: Bacteria
Description: bacterial SSU rRNA
Rfam family: Archaeal small subunit ribosomal RNA
Source: RNAcentral
GCGCGAAAACUUUACAAUGCUGGCAACAGCGAUAAGGGAACCUCGAGUGCCAGGUUACAAAUCUGGCUGUCGAGAUGCCUAAAAAGCAUUUCAUAGCAAGGGCCGGGCAAGACCGGUGCCAGCCGCCGCGGUAACACCGGCGGCUCGAGUGGUAACCGUUAUUAUUGGGUCUAAAGGGUCUGUAGCCGGCCGGAUAAGUCUCUUGAGAAAUCUGGCAGCUUAACUGUCAGGCUUUCAGGAGAUACUGUCUGGCUCGAGGCCGGGAGAGGUGAGAGGUACUUCGAGGGGUAGGGUGAAAUCUUGUAAUCCUUGAAGGACCACCAGUGGCGAAGGCGUCUCACCGAGAACGGACCUGACGGCAAGGGACAAAGCUAGGGGCACGAACCGGAUUAGAGACCCGGG